AAAAAAAAAAAAAAAAAAAACAGUAGUAGUUGAUGUUAGUUCCCUUAGGAUUUUGCAGUUUCAAGGGUGUUUGGAAUUUCCAUGGAAAUGAAACCAUGUAUCCUAUCUGUUUUCCAUGGCAUUUGAACUUUGAAGACACUGUGCAGUAUGAAUUUCAAAUUCCAUGGAAAACAUUGUGAAGCCAUUUCAUUUCCAUAGGUGGAACAAACACCCAUUUUCAUUCUCAGACCCGAGAUGUUUUGUGGAGGAUUAAAUACAGCUUUAUAUAGAACAGAAACUUAGAAUACAUUCAACUCUAUCUAACUUCAGCCAUUAAACCAAACUUAGGCUUCAG
This 334-nucleotide unclassified non-coding RNA is filed under the name Hevea brasiliensis (rubber tree). Lineage: Eukaryota; Viridiplantae; Streptophyta; Magnoliopsida; Malpighiales; Euphorbiaceae. The record is from RNAcentral.